RNAcentral lists this ribosomal RNA (404 nucleotides) under uncultured bacterium. RNAcentral describes it as "partial 16S ribosomal RNA". It matches the Rfam family "Bacterial small subunit ribosomal RNA", at positions 28 to 526 of the family's 1533-position model. The record is from RNAcentral.
GAUGAACGCUGACAGCAUGCUUAACACAUGCAAGUCAACUUGUGGCGGACGGGUGAGUAACGCGUAAGAACUUGCCUCACAGAUAGGGACAACAUUUGGAAACGAAUACUAAUACCUGAUAGCGCUGUGAGAGGCUUGCUCCCAUUAGCUAGUUGGAGGGGUAACGGCUCACAAAGGCGAUGAUGGUUAGCUGGUCUGAGAGGAUGACCAGCCACACUGGAACUGAGACACGGCCCAGACUCCUACGGGAGGCAGCAGUGGGGAAUAUUGCACAAUGGGCGAAAGCCUGAUGCAGCCAUGCCGCGUGUGUGAAGAAGGCCUUCGGGUUGUAAAGCACUGUCAGCGGGGAGGCGUUACCCGCAGAAAAAGCACCGGCUAACUCCGGCCAGCAGCCGCGGUAAUUC